GUAGUUAGCCGGGGCUUCCUCCUUGGCUACCGUCACUUUCUUCGUCACCAAGGACAGAGGUUUACAACCCGAAAGCCUUCUUCCCUCACGCGGCGUUGCUGGGUCAGGCUUGCGCCCAUUGCCCAAUAUUCCCCACUGCUGCCUCCCGUAGGAGUCUGGACCGUGUCUCAGUUCCAGUGUGGCCGAUCAGCCUCUCAGCUCGGCUACCCAUCGUUGGCUAGGUGGGCCGUUACCCCGCCUACUACCUAAUGGGACGCGAACCCCUCCUUUAGCGGAUUUCUCCUUUGACCUCAUCCCGAUGCCGGGUCGUGGUCUUAUGCGGUAUUAGCACUUGUUUCCAGGUGUUAUCCCCCUGUCUGGGACAGAUUGCUCACGCGUUACUCACCCGUCCGCCGCUGAAACACACUUCGUAUUGCUACUCAACGUGUCCCCGCUCGACUUGCAUGUGUUAGUACACGCCGCCACGCGUUCGUUCCUCGAGCCACGAAUACAACCUACUGA
This 501-nucleotide ribosomal RNA is filed under the name uncultured bacterium. RNAcentral describes it as "partial 16S ribosomal RNA". The record is from RNAcentral.